This 250-nucleotide ribosomal RNA is filed under the name uncultured prokaryote. RNAcentral's name for it is "partial 16S ribosomal RNA". It matches the Rfam family "Bacterial small subunit ribosomal RNA", at positions 524 to 773 of the family's 1533-position model. The record is from RNAcentral.
UACGUAGGGGGCAGGCGUUAUCCGGAUUUACUGGGUGUAAAGGGAGCGCAGACGGUUAUGAAAGUCUGAAGUGAAACCCCACGGCUCAACCGUGGGCUUGCUUUGGAAACUGUAUAACUAGAGUACUGGAGAGGUAAGCGGAAUUCCUAGUGUAGCGGUGAAAUGCGUAGAUAUUAGGAGGAACAUCGGUGGCGAAGGCGGCUUACUGGACAGCAACUGACGUUGAGGCGCGAAAGCCGGGGGAGCAAAC